AUCUGGUCGUUAAUUCGACCAGAAUAACUACAACAAUAUACAAAUUCCUCUUUGACGGGCCAAUAGCGAUAUUGGCCGUUUUUUU
Molecule: small RNA, 85 nt
Filed under: Buttiauxella sp. JUb87
Lineage: Bacteria; Pseudomonadati; Pseudomonadota; Gammaproteobacteria; Enterobacterales; Enterobacteriaceae
Description: sroB RNA
Rfam family: sroB RNA
Source: RNAcentral